AUGUUCUCUAUCUUUUUGUUGAGGCUUCUAAUCCGAACAGCGACAUCACGACGUGACCAGAUGUUACAAAAGCAAGAGGAAACUGAAAGGCCUGCACAUCUAGCUGAUCUGCUUGAUGGUGAUGAAGGAUCAUCAGGAAGUAGCUUGCUUCCUUUACAUCUAGCCACAUCUAGGAUUUCAUCAACAUCAUAUAUAACAUCUCUCAGUUGGCCAAGCCAAUUGUUUACUGCUAACUCUUUUGUCCUCCUUUUCUCAGCAUCAUAUAUGCAACAUUGUAUCAGUUCUACUCGUCGCAGGACUUGUCUGAGCUCUUCUUCCACCCCAAGGAUUAGUAUGGCCUCAUCUGUAAUGAUAUUUUGCAACUUACUGGCACAUGAUCCAAGCAAAGAUUCAAGUAUGGCUGCCAUGGAUCAGACAAACUCGGCAAGUGAGAUCAACCAAAAACACCACAGUGACUUGAUUCUAAGAAUGGCAGAAACUGGAAGCGAUAAGGUAUCUUAG
This 501-nucleotide ribosomal RNA is filed under the name Triticum aestivum (bread wheat). RNAcentral's name for it is "partial small subunit ribosomal RNA". The record is from RNAcentral. Lineage: Eukaryota; Viridiplantae; Streptophyta; Magnoliopsida; Poales; Poaceae.